GUAGAAUAUAUGAGCACCGCAGUUUAAAUCAUCAAACAAUAGAUUCACGAAACAAGUGAAAAACUCGAGAAAUAAAACUGCUUUUAAUGAAGACUGUGAGAAAGUUAAACUUUAUAAACCGCGUUAUGAGACGAGAUGAUGAGAGACUGAAUCUUUACCUCAGAGGAACAUUUAUUUCUUUGUUCUUUAAUGUAAAUUUCUCCUCGACCGUUCUCCAGACGUGGACAACUAUUCUGAAGACAAUGACAGUUAUUCUUCAGAGCAGGAGGUCAGUGAUGAUGCCGUUCAGGGUCAGUGGAUAUGAACAGAAGUUCAGAUGAGUCUAUAGCGCUUCACUCUACAGCUGUUGAGCAGACGGCUGGGGGGGAUGUCACAUGUGACGGGGAUGUGAACGCAGACAAAUCAGCAGCAAACAUCAGCAAACUCUGCAAGGCCGAGUCUCAGACUCUCAUGUCGUGGAGACGCUGUGUCUUUCGUUAA
This is a long non-coding RNA of Triplophysa dalaica, 480 nucleotides long. RefSeq lists it as uncharacterized. The transcript has 4 exons. The record is from RefSeq and is a predicted model, not a curated record. NCBI's taxonomy places the organism in Eukaryota, Metazoa, Chordata, Actinopteri, Cypriniformes, Nemacheilidae.